CCCCAACGCCCACCAGACCCACCUCGCCUCAAUCCCCCAUUCAUCCCCGUCUUCCCCCGUUUGGGCUGGGGAAGUGAAACUUGGGGGGAGGGGGUGGGGUCGUUAAUUGGUUGGAGAGCAAGAGAGCCUGGACUCUUCUUGGAGGCUGAAUAUAUCUUGUUUUCGUAGGCUUUUCCUCUCUUCACAAGCAAUUUUUACCUCUGAUUUUCUGGUGGCAGGGUCGGCUUUGUAAGAGAAAACACUGCAUUAAGUACUGGUGAUGAAUAAAUCCAUUUUUCCGUAUUAUUUACAUUAUUAUUGUUUAAAGACAAAGGUAUCCAUCACUCCACUCACAUAGGCGGCGAGAAUUAAGCUGCAACUUAGAGUAGAUUUAAGAAAAACCAAAAUGUGUGGCUGAGAAGAAGAAGAAGAAGGAGAGAGGGAGAGAGAGAUGUUGUCUGUGCACACGACUAUGAGAAACUCCAGAAGCACACACACUCACGCACUCGCAAGACGCGACAGAAGAAUAAGGACUGAAAAGUGUUUUUGGGGCGUUUCGUCUGUCAGCGGGGGAAGCUGUUCUAGGUUCGGGGGUCACCAAUAAAGCACCACCAACGUUUGGGAGAUGAACUAAUUAGGACGUCUUUCUCACUUACCUCUGCUGCUGCUGCUGCUGCGCGUUUCGUCUCCUCUCCUUGGAGUGGCGAGUGGAGAAGGCAAAGAAGUAGGAGGAUGAGGGAUGAGGGGUGAGGGGGAUCUCUGUAUGUGUAUGCGGAGUCUGGAGCCUCCGUUGCAUGAGAGGGGGACAGAGAGAGAAGAGAAGAGAAGGGAAAGGAAGGGAAGGGAAGGAUUCUGGUAGGCGGUCAUGCAAAGGGUGUGUGUUGUGUUGAUCUGUGCAGCGAGAAAGAGGAGUAGGAGGAGGAGGAGGAGGCGUAAGAGGAGGAGGAAGAGGGAAAGAAAAGGGGAGGCUUCUCUAGUGGCCUCCUGCUGCUGUUGCUUCUGCUGCUGCUGUUGGUGCUGCCGCCUGCAUGGAGGGAUUGACCCAGUGCAUGCCGGCAAGCACCGAAACGUUGUUGCUUGCAUGCGCGGGCACCUAGGCGGCGUCGCCGACGACGCAGUUGUAGCUUCGGGGCUUUUUGCGAUCAAUGCUCAGGAUGACGUUUAUGUCUCACGUUUGGUGUCUUGAGAGAUCGUGAGUGCUUCCAGGCGCCUCCAGACCACCGGCCGUCUUGAGCAGAGGAGUGCCAACGGGCAAAUUCGGCUCCCAGGCGUCAUGCACUGCAAGAGGCGAACAUCACCUUCUUCCUUCAAGAGACCAGGGCUGGGUACAAACACACUCACUGCUCCACAACAGUCCCACCACCACUACUACCACCACCGUGGCUACCACCUCUCUGCUUGGCUGCCCACUGGGAUACAUACCCUGAUGCCCCAACUGCAACCAGAGAUACCCCAGCUCAAGCGACAACAACAGAGCAGCGACGAUAGCAACGGCGGCUGCAAAGGAAGCAGGGAGGAGCAGCAGCAGCAGGAUUUCGCCAAUGAUGAUCUUGACGAUGAUGUUCUCGACAGAAAGACGACUCGUCUCCAGCUGUGGUCUUGCUGGUUUUGAUAUUUCAAUAUUCUGGUCCUCAUUUCGGUUCCAAAACACCGUGGUGAUGAAUUCGCAAUGAAGAAAGGAUUUGAUUAUAAUCGUGUUCAUUUCUGAUCAUUUGGAUUUGAUCUGACGCAUAGUGACGUGUCUUAAGAAUAUGAUAGUGAACGUGAAUUAUAUUAACGCAAACAGAAGUUAGUGGAGAAGUUCAAUUGUUUUUUGACGUGAUGUUGAAGACGGAUCACGAGUGAAGUAAAUAUUUGAAGCCUCUGUAGAACUACAGUUCUGGUCUGCUCUCGGAGUCACGUCUCAACAAUAAGAACUUCGAAUGUAAGCAAAGAGUGUGAAGUUGAUGAAGCAUCUCCUUCGGUUGAAACCCAACCCCACCCCCCCAACCCCCCAUCAUCCUGGGGUCAACACAGACAUUAUGGUUCAUAUUUGGAGAACCUCAUUAUGGUUACAGAUCUGGCGUUGGACGAAAGACCCCGUGAGGCCGAGCGCAUGGAAUAGGGUAAAGAAAUCGCCGUCAACAAUAACACAUUUGAUAAACGUGAGGCUGGCGAAGGUACACAGCUGUGGAGAUGUUUAAGACUUCCAAAUUUUUGGAGUCGUGUGACACCAAAGAAAGCAUCCCUGUGUAGAUCAAUAUGACACCAAAGAAGGCAUCCAGAGGAAUGUGUUGACGAAUGUAACACCCAAGAAAAAGUUUGUAUUUGAAGUAUCAAGAAGAAAUACGUGUCAAACAAGAUGCUAUCGUGUAGGUGAGAGUGACACGAAAGAAGAUAUCCCGAUUUGUAACAUACUGAAGAAGACAUCAUUGUUUUUAGAAGAAUGCGACACCAAAAGUUUCUUCUAUAUCUGGAAAUAAAUGUUUAAAGAAAAGAUCCAUAAUUAUGGAAGUCGAUGACGUCAAAUUAAAAAGAGGAAAUGCUGAUCCGACGAUUAUAUAAUACAUGACGUCAGCGAAAAAUUGGAGGUUUUAAGGUUAUUGCAAAAUUUCAUUGCAUUCUUGAGAGCUGGGGGAAAAAUGUUAUACUACUGUCAUAGAUAUUAUUUUAUAGCAGCGAUAGUAGUUCCAUCAUAGAUUCUCUUAUAAAUAUAGUUAAUUUCCGAAAUAAAUUAAUGAAAUUAAGUGCUCAUGGAUACUAAGGAUAGUAUUUUAAUAUUUAACACUAAAUACUCUUGCUUCUUCCGACUCGUUGUGACCAUUACAUUAAACUCUUAAAAGUCUAAACUAUACGUUUCAGUAAAUAUGAAUUUUCAUUCAUAUGUAAGCUUCCGUCCCUUGUAUUGAAUGUGUUCUUAUAUUAAUUUUACAAAUAAUGAUAUCAUGUCUUAUGACUUUUCUUGUGAGAUAGGUCUUAAUAUUGGUCUUGUGCCAAUUUUAUUCUUUAGUAAGAUCCACAAAAAAAUUGUAUUUUUAAUUGACACUCUACGUUUAUAAGGCCUCAUCUGUCAUCCAUCAUCUUUCUGCAGAGGCUGACAGCCACUGCAACCUUAUAAAAUAGUAAUGCAUGUUUUUGGGAUGCCUAAUAAGUUUUAUUUUUCGUUAUUUAAAGAUACGUAUUUCAGUCUUAUCGCUUUCAACACCUGUUUCAUGCAUCAGAUUUUAAUAACUUUUAAUUUUAAUGAGAUUUUAAUAACUUUUAAUUUUAAUCAGAUUUUAAUGACUUUUAAUUUCAAUCAGAUUUUAAUAACUCUUUUAAUUUUAAUCAGAUUUUAAUAACUCGGGGAAAAAAGUUACUUUUUUCCCCGUUUUUGAUAAUCACGUUUAUGAAAUUAGGAAGCCGGAGUAUUUUUUUUAACGCAGAUCGUUAUCUUUGAGUGUUAGGGUAAUGUUUACCGGAGAUGUUUCUUUGAUUGCAUUAAAUAAUAACAUGGUCCAGGAGUGUUCUUUUUCAUAUUCAAUUACAAAAAAAAUUAUCAAGAUACUGUAUCACGGGAUUAUGUAGGAGGAUAAGUAAUCAUCUCCGCUAAUAAACAACGGUCUGUUUGAAUAAGGGCUUUAAUAUAUAUUAUAUAGAACUGUCUCUCUCUCUCUCUC
This is an RNA transcript of Macrobrachium nipponense, 3617 nucleotides long. RefSeq lists it as uncharacterized. The record is from RefSeq and is a predicted model, not a curated record. The transcript is spliced from 6 exons. NCBI's taxonomy places the organism in Eukaryota, Metazoa, Arthropoda, Malacostraca, Decapoda, Palaemonidae.